This 443-nucleotide ribosomal RNA is filed under the name uncultured Lactobacillus sp. Its description in RNAcentral is "bacterial SSU rRNA". It matches the Rfam family "Bacterial small subunit ribosomal RNA", at positions 457 to 896 of the family's 1533-position model. Lineage: Bacteria; Bacillati; Bacillota; Bacilli; Lactobacillales; Lactobacillaceae. The record is from RNAcentral.
AAAAUUACUUAAGUGACGGUAUCUAACCAGAAAGGGACGGCUAACUACGUGCCAGCAGCCGCGGUAAUACGUAGGUGGCAAGCGUUGUCCGGAUUUAUUGGGCGUAAAGCGAGCGCAGGCGGUUUCUUAAGUCUGAUGUGAAAGCCUUCGGCUCAACCGAAGAAGUGCAUCGGAAACUGGGAAACUUGAGUGCAGAAGAGGACAGUGGAACUCCAUGUGUAGCGGUGAAAUGCGUAGAUAUAUGGAAGAACACCAGUGGCGAAGGCGGCUGUCUGGUCUGUAACUGACGCUGAGGCUCGAAAGCAUGGGUAGCAAACAGGAUUAGAUACCCCCUGGUAGUCCAUGCCGUAAACGAUGAGUGCUAGGUGUUGGAGGGUUUCCGCCCUUCAGUGCCGCAGCUAACGCAUUAAGCACUCCGCCUGGGGAGUACGACCGCAAGGUUG